Molecule: long non-coding RNA, 339 nt
Organism: Heterocephalus glaber (naked mole-rat)
Lineage: Eukaryota; Metazoa; Chordata; Mammalia; Rodentia; Bathyergidae
Source: Ensembl
CGGGAAGUCCUGCGCCUGGCUAACAGCAGGGCGCAUGCAGAAGCCCUCUGCGGGGAGUGGAGCCCCAAAGAGCAGGGUUCAGGAUGCAGCUUCCGCUUUACCCCUUUCAGCAGAACAGAAACCUCUGGCCUCAUGACCUCUCUUGGAAUCUAGGGGAUGGAGACAUGAGCAUCAUCAUGUGAAUAAAAGUUAAAUAUGGACAAAACUUCUCAAAGAAGGGUCAGCCCAUGAUGAAAAGCUGUUUGGUCUGAAAAACCAGAACCAGGGAUGGAAUUCAGGACCUUGCACUUGCAAGGCAGGCGCAGCGCCACUGAGCUAAAUCUCUGGCCCAGGUGGUAG